AUGGCGACGUCGUCGUCGGCUGGCGGGGGCGGUGCCGCCGGGGGCGCGCCUGGACUCAAGACUUACUUCAAGACUCCCGAGGGCCGGCAUAAGCUGCAGUACGAGAAGACCCACUCCCCCUCCGUGCUGCACUACAACCACAGCUCUGGUGGCAAGACUGUCUCCGAGAUGACAGUGGCAUAUUUGAAGGAGAAACCGGUGGGGCAGGGCUCUACACCGUCAACACCAAGUUCCAGCAGUGGCAUGCGAUCUGCAGCUGCAAGACUGCUUGGUACCGGGAAUGGGAGCCGGACACUUAGCUUUGCAGGCAGCAACGGUGUCAGCAGGGCUGUUUCAGGGAGCAGCCGUGUGGGUGGCGGCGUUGGUACGUCAACAGGCGUUGGUGGAUCUCAAGCCGUGGCGAAUUACGAUGGCAAGGGAACAUACAUCAUCUUCAAUACCGCAGAUACACUGUUCAUUAGUGAUCUCAACUCACAUGACAAAGAUCCAGUAAAGUCCAUCCACUUCAGCAACUCAAACCCAGUUUGUCAUGCAUUUGACUCGGAGGCCAAAGAUGGGCAUGACGUGAUUGUUGGAUUAUGGUCAGGAGAUGUCUAUUCAAUGUCAUUGAGGCAACAGUUGCAAGAUCCUGGAAAGAAGCCUGUUAUGUCUCAGCAUUUUAUCAAUAAAGACAAAGAUGGAACUGCCAACAGCCGCUGUACUUGUGUUGCAUGGGUUCCAGAGCGUGAAGGCAUUUUUGUUGUCAGCAAUGCUGAUGGGAAUCUGUAUGUGUAUGACAAAUCCAAGGAUGGAAGUGCUGACUGGGCAUUUCCAACUGUAAGGGAUCAAAAUCAGCUGGUGAUUUCACAUGCAAAGUCCAAUAAGAGCAAUCCUACUGCAAGAUGGCACAUCUGUCAAGGUGCAAUCAAUGCCAUUUCAUUUUCGCCGGAUGGAGCUUACAUGGCAACUGUUGGGCGAGAUGGUUAUUUAAGAGUAUUUGACUUCGCGAAAGAACAACUAAUAUUUGGUGGGAAAAGUUACUAUGGUGCUCUUUUGUGUUGCUCAUGGAGUGCGGAUGGAAAAUAUAUAUUAUCAGGUGGGGAAGAUGAUCUUGUGCAAGUAUGGAGCAUGGAUGACAGAAAGAUGGUUGCGUGGGGCGAGGGGCAUACAUCAUGGGUUAGCUCAGUUGCCUUUGAUUCGUAUUGGUCCCCUCCAAGUUCUGAUGACGCAGGAGAAAAUGCCAUGUAUCGCUUUGGUUCUGUUGGCCAGGAUACCCAACUUCUUCUCUGGGAUUUGGCAAUGGAUGAGAUUGCUGUGCCACUUCGACAUCCUUCCAGCGGCUCCCCAACAUUUAGCAGUGGAAGCCCUUCUGCACACUGGGACAGUGCAUGUCCUCCUCCUACUGGUGUUCUUCAGCCGUCUCCACGGAUGCGAGACGUACCAAAGCUCUCACCCCUCGUUGCACACAGAGUACAUGCUGAUCCCCUUUCUGGCCUAGAAUUCACCAGUGAAUCGAUCGUCACCAUAUGCCGUGAGGGGCUAAUCAAAAUCUGGGCCAGGCCACAACACAGUGAAAACAGCCAGCGGCCAAAUUCUUCUGAGCUGGCAGCUGGCAAUGCCAUCUCCAAGGAUAAGAUGAUAACAUCACCAAACAAAGCAGGCACUUCCAGCUCUAGCUUCAAGCAACCAUCAUCUGUUAUUUUCUCAUGA
RNAcentral lists this ribosomal RNA (1689 nucleotides) under Triticum aestivum (bread wheat). RNAcentral's name for it is "partial small subunit ribosomal RNA". The record is from RNAcentral. Lineage: Eukaryota; Viridiplantae; Streptophyta; Magnoliopsida; Poales; Poaceae.